Molecule: ribosomal RNA, 415 nt
Filed under: uncultured bacterium
Lineage: Bacteria
Description: bacterial SSU rRNA
Rfam family: Bacterial small subunit ribosomal RNA
Source: RNAcentral
UGGGGAAUAUUGGACAAUGGGGGCAACCCUGAUCCAGCAAUGCCGCGUGUGUGAAGAAGGCCUUCGGGUUGUAAAGCACUUUUAUCGGGAACGAAACAUUGUCGGCCAAUACCCGGCAAGACUGACGGUACCCGAGGAAUAAGCACCGGCUAAAUCCGUGCCAGCAGCCGCGGUAAUACGGAGGGUGCAAGCGUUAAUCGGAAUUACUGGGCGUACAGCGUGCGCAGGCGGUUUGUUAAGUCUGCUGUGAAAUCCCCGAGCUCAACUUGGGAAUUGCAGUGGAUACUGGAAAGCUGGAGUACGGUAGAGGAAGGUGGAAUUCCCGGUGUAGCAGUGAAAUGCGUAGAGAUCGGGAGGAACACCAGUGGCGAAGGCGGCCUUCUGGACCAGUACUGACGCUCAUGCACGAAAGCGU